This 403-nucleotide ribosomal RNA is filed under the name uncultured bacterium. Its description in RNAcentral is "partial 16S ribosomal RNA". It matches the Rfam family "Bacterial small subunit ribosomal RNA", at positions 29 to 526 of the family's 1533-position model. The record is from RNAcentral.
AUUGAACGCUGGCGGCAGGCCCAACACAUGCAAGUCGAGCGAGCGGCGGACGGGUGAGUAAUGUAUGGGGACUGCCCGAUAGAGGGGGAUAACUACUGGAAACGGUGGCUAAUACCGCAUACUAUCGGAUAACCCAUAUGGGAGUAGCUAGUAGGUGGGGUAAAGGCUCACCUAGGCGACGAUCUCUAGCUGGUCUGAGAGGAUGACCGGCGACGCUUGGACUGAGACACGGCCCAGACUCGUACGGAGGCAGCAGUGGGGAAUAUUUCGCAAGGGGGGGAACCCUGACGCCGCCAUGCCGCGUGAAUGAAGAAGUCCUUCGGGUUGGAAAGUUCUUUCGGUAGCGAGGCGUUGACGACAGAAGAAGCGCCGGCUAACUCGGUGCGAGCAGCCGCGGUAAUAC